RNAcentral lists this ribosomal RNA (761 nucleotides) under uncultured Frankia sp. RNAcentral's name for it is "bacterial SSU rRNA". It matches the Rfam family "Bacterial small subunit ribosomal RNA", at positions 331 to 1105 of the family's 1533-position model. Lineage: Bacteria; Bacillati; Actinomycetota; Actinomycetes; Frankiales; Frankiaceae. The record is from RNAcentral.
CCAGACUCCUACGGGAGGCAGCAGUGGGGAAUAUUGCACAAUGGGCGAAAGCCUGAUGCAGCGACGCCGCGUGAGGGAUGAAGGCCUUCGGGUUGUAAACCUCUUUCAGCAGGGACGAAGCGAGAGUGACGGUACCUGCAGAAGAAGCACCGGCCAACUACGUGCCAGCAGCCGCGGUAAUACGUAGGGUGCAAGCGUUGUCCGGAAUUAUUGGGCGUAAAGAGCUCGUAGGCGGUCCGUCGCGUCGACUGUGAAAACCCGGGGCUCAACUCCGGGCCUGCAGUCGAUACGGGCGGACUAGAGUUCGGCAGGGGAGACUGGAAUUCCUGGUGUAGCGGUGAAAUGCGCAGAUAUCAGGAGGAACACCGGUGGCGAAGGCGGGUCUCUGGGCCGAAACUGACGCUGAGGAGCGAAAGCGUGGGGAGCGAACAGGAUUAGAUACCCUGGUAGUCCACGCCGUAAACGUUGGGCGCUAGGUGUGGGGGUCCUUCCACGGCCUCCGUGCCGCAGCUAACGCAUUAAGCGCCCCGCCUGGGGAGUACGGCCGCAAGGCUAAAACUCAAAGGAAUUGACGGGGGCCCGCACAAGCGGCGGAGCAUGUGGCUUAAUUCGAGGCAACGCGAAGAACCUUACCUAGGCUUGACAUGCAGGGAAAUCCGGCAGAGAUGUCGGGUCCGCAAGGGUCCUGCACAGGUGGUGCAUGGUUGUCGUCAGCUCGUGUCGUGAGAUGUUGGGUUAAGUCCCGCAACGAGCGCAACCCU